GGGGUUGACUGGAUUUGACAGCAGAUGAAGUGGUAUGUAAGCACGCGGAGCCUCGUUGGCUUGCUCCUUAAACAAAGCGAUCAAAGAAUUAAUUGGCGAAAAUAAUUACGCUCUCGCUGCCUAACUGAAGUACAGUAGGUUACUGGCUUUAUCGCGUUACAAGGUAAUGCGACGAGACAUCGCUCCAAAGAUGUUUUUCCGAAUCUAAGGAAUCAGCGGUGCAGAACAAUCGGGAAUAGCUUUCGCAAGCCUCAUUGUGGAAGUGAAAAUAAGAGGAUAAGGGCGUAGUAGGUGGUCCAGGUCUUGCUGCGUCACGAAAAUAAAAGGCUGGAAUAAGCGUGUAGAAAGCAUAUGGUUUCGCUGUUUGGACGUGGGUUCGAAUCCCACCAGCUCCACUU
This 398-nucleotide transfer-messenger RNA is filed under the name Bacteroidaceae. RNAcentral describes it as "Prevotella sp013333285 Standard tmRNA". It matches the Rfam family "transfer-messenger RNA". From Rfam's summary of the family: Bacterial tmRNA, also known as 10Sa RNA or SsrA, is named for its dual tRNA and mRNA-like properties. Its role is to liberate the mRNA from a stalled ribosome. To accomplish this part of the tmRNA is used as a reading frame that ends in a translation stop signal. Lineage: Bacteria; Pseudomonadati; Bacteroidota; Bacteroidia; Bacteroidales. The record is from RNAcentral. RNAcentral also lists the same sequence under 1 other name.